This 210-nucleotide unclassified non-coding RNA is filed under the name Hevea brasiliensis (rubber tree). Lineage: Eukaryota; Viridiplantae; Streptophyta; Magnoliopsida; Malpighiales; Euphorbiaceae. The record is from RNAcentral.
ACCACCAGAACCUUCAGUCAACCUUUGAUAAAGAGCAUUACAUUUUCCAUGAAGGUCUUCAAAUAUCCUGUCACACUUGAUCCUACAGACCAAUUCAAGAAUCUGUGAGAUGACCUGUGACUCCAAGCAAGCUAUUCCUCUAGCAUCAAUGACCUUCAUUAGCCCAUCUAUACAAUUCACAACUCCUGCAACAUUAAGAAUAGAUGAAAG